AGAGUUUGAUCAUGGCUCAGGACGAACGCUGGCGGCACGCUUAACACAUGCAAGUCGAACGAGAGAAGAGGAGCUUGCUUUUCUGAUCUAGUGGCGGACGGGUGAGUAACACGUGAGCAAUCUGCCUUUCAGAGGGGGAUACCGAUUGGAAACGAUCGUUAAUACCGCAUAACAUAAUUGAACCGCAUGAUUUGAUUAUCAAAGAUUUAUCGCUGAAAGAUGAGCUCGCGUCUGAUUAGCUAGUUGGUAAGGUAACGGCUUACCAAGGCGACGAUCGGUAGCCGGACUGAGAGGUUGAUCGGCCACAUUGGGACUGAGACACGGCCCAGACUCCUACGGGAGGCAGCAGUGGGGAAUAUUGCACAAUGGAGGAAACUCUGAUGCAGCGAUGCCGCGUGAGGGAAGAAGGUUUUAGGAUUGUAAACCUCUGUCUUCAGGGACGAAAAAAGACGGUACCUGGGGAGGAAGCUCCGGCUAACUACGUGCCAGCAGCCGCGGUAAUACGUAGGGAGCGAGCGUUGUCCGGAAUUACUGGGUGUAAGGGGAGCGUAGGCGGGAUCGCAAGUCAGAUGUGAAAACUAUGGGCUUAACCCAUAAACUGCAUUUGAAACUGUGGUUCUUGAGUGAAGUAGAGGUAAGCGGAAUUCCUAGUGUAGCGGUGAAAUGCGUAGAUAUUAGGAGGAACAUCAGUGGCGAAGGCGGCUUACUGGGCUUUAACUGACGCUGAGGCUCGAAAGCGUGGGGAGCAAACAGGAUUAGAUACCCUGGUAGUCCACGCCGUAAACGAUGAUUACUAGGUGUGGGGGGACUGACCCCUUCCGUGCCGCAGCAAACGCAAUAAGUAAUCCACCUGGGGAGUACGACCGCAAGGUUGAAACUCAAAGGAAUUGACGGGGGCCCGCACAAGCAGUGGAGUAUGUGGAUUAAUUCGAAGCAACGCGAAGAACCUUACCAGGUCUUGACAUCGUAUGCAUAGCUCAGAGAUGAGUGAAAUCUCUUCGGAGACAUAUAGACAGGUGGUGCAUGGUUGUCGUCGGCUCGUGUCGUGAGAUGUUGGGUUAAGUCCCGCAACGAGCGCAACCCUUACUGUUAGUUGCUACGCAAGAGCACUCUAGCAGGACUGCCGUUAACAAAACGGAGGAAGGUGGGGAUGACGUCAAAUCAUCAUGCCCCUUAUGACCUGGGCCUCACACGUACUACAAUGGCUGUCAACAGAGGGAAGCAAAGCCGCGAGGUGGAGCGAACCCCUAAAAGCAGUCUUAGUUCGGAUUGUAGGCUGCAACCCGCCUACAUGAAGUCGGAAUUGCUAGUAAUCGCAGAUCAGCAUGCUGCGGUGAAUACGUUCCCGGGCCUUGUACACACCGCCCGUCACGCCAUGGGAGUCGGUAACACCCGAAGCCUGUAGUCUAACCGCAAGGAGGACGCAGUCGAAGGUGGGAUUGAUGACUGGGGUGAAGUCGUAACAAGGUA
RNAcentral lists this ribosomal RNA (1470 nucleotides) under metagenome. Its description in RNAcentral is "bacterial SSU rRNA". It matches the Rfam family "Bacterial small subunit ribosomal RNA". The record is from RNAcentral.